GAUGAACGCUGGCGGCGUGCUUAACACAUGCAAGUCGAACGAGAACCAAUGGAAUGAGGAUUCGUCCAAAGGAAGUUGGGGAAAGUGGCGGACGGGUGAGUAACGCGUGAGCAAUCUGCCUUGGAGUGGGGAAUAACGGCUGGAAACAGCCGCUAAUACCGCAUGAUACAGCUAUCCCGCAUGGGGUUGGCUGUCAAAGAUUUAUCGCUCUGAGAUGAGCUCGCGUCUGAUUAGCUUGUUGGCGGGGUAACGGCCCACCAAGGCGACGAUCAGUAGCCGGACUGAGAGGUUGGCCGGCCACAUUGGGACUGAGACACGGCCCAG
RNAcentral lists this ribosomal RNA (324 nucleotides) under uncultured bacterium. RNAcentral describes it as "bacterial SSU rRNA". It matches the Rfam family "Bacterial small subunit ribosomal RNA", at positions 28 to 334 of the family's 1533-position model. The record is from RNAcentral.